Molecule: small RNA, 1940 nt
Filed under: Pan troglodytes (chimpanzee)
Lineage: Eukaryota; Metazoa; Chordata; Mammalia; Primates; Hominidae
Description: retained intron
Source: RNAcentral
UUGUGCAUUUUUGGCCUGCAAAGUAGAUGAAUUCAAUGUAUCUAGUCCUCAGUUUGUUGGAAACCUUCGGGAGAGUCCUCUUGGACAGGAGAAGGCACUUGAACAGAUACUGGAAUAUGAACUACUUCUUAUACAGCAACUUAAUUUCCACCUUAUUGUCCACAAUCCUUACAGACCAUUUGAGGGCUUCCUCAUCGACUUAAAGUUAUUUAUCAGAGAGUCUGAUGCUGAAAGAGAACAGAACUUGCCUGUCACAGUUACUAGAUAUAAUGAAAAGCAUGAGAAACUUAGUAAAAAAGUAUGAACCACCCAGAUCUGAAGAAGUUGCUGUUCUGAAACAGAAGUUGGAGCGAUGUCAUUCUGCUGAGCUUGCACUUAACGUAAUCACGAAGAAGAGGAAAGGCUAUGAAGAUGAUGAUUACGUCUCAAAGAAAUCCAAACAUGAGGAGGAAGAAUGGACUGAUGACGACCUGGUAGAAUCUCUCUAACCAUUUGAAGUUGAUUUCUCAAUGCUAACUAAUCAAGAGAAAUCGCCAAACUUUGGCAUCAGAGCAAGGUCCACACUUAUCACUGAAAAUUUUCCCACCCAGCCCCAUUAAAAACGUUAAAGUGUGAGAGAUUUUAUUUCAACACUGACAAGCUAGUUACUAGAGGUCCUACAAAGGUAAGUAACAAGUUUCCAUUUCAACUUGAGAGACAAAUGAUGUUAAAAUAUGAGAAGCAGGGUAAGUCAGGUUUGUGAUUUUAAAUAAACGGGAGAAGGAUUUCAGACUGAGGAAUGACAGGUUAGUAUGGCUAAAGAUUGAGGUGUGAUAAAUGGGAGCCAAAGUGCACAGCAAAAAUAUCUUGACUAAUCCAUAUCCUCCCUGUCUUCUAUCAUGUAACCAAGGAAGGAGACCACCUGGGAUACUAUGUUGGUCCAAGUCCAGCUAAAAAACAGAAGGGGUGGAAAGGAGAGUAAUUUGAUAAAAGAGCCAAGAAGGGAGAGAAUGGAAUGAAUUGAGCUGAUUUCAAGGAAAAGGAGCAUGGGACAUGUUGAGAUUUUUGGUAUCAGUGUUAAACGGUGAUUGAAGCCACAUAGGUUAGCAGCCCCCAUAGAAAUAACUGCCUUUUGUAGCUUGGAACUAUUAAGCAGACAUCUUUUAAGCCCUUAGCAUUUUUUUUUCCCUGUAUUUUAUACAUUAGAGGAAUAGCAUAAAGUGUUGCUCUUGGAAUCUAGGGCUUUCCUUACUGUGGGAACACCUCCUUGGGUUCCUGUCUCACUCACUCUGAUUACCAGUGUCAUUCUGCCACGUAUGUUCCAUAUGUCCUAUCUGCCCUGCACAAUUAUGAGAGGGAAGGAAUUAUUGUUGCAUUUAUAAAAUCCUUUUCAAAAGAGGCCAUUAGCAAAAAUACUAAUCUAAAGCUUCAGCUUCUCCCUGGGCCUUGCUCUGAUGCUAAGGUUUAAACUGCCCCUGAAGGAGGAAGAAAAUAAAUAAAUUAAAUGCUUAGCUCUUUUAGACAGAAGUAAUCAAUUAUGCAAGAUAUCCCUUGGUUUUAUUUUAACUUAACCUUUGUGAAUACUUCACAAAAAUACACAUACAGAAGUAAAUAAAACUAUACAGUUGAACUAAAUAUCCAGCAGAUACAACAAGUAGUCAGAAGUUCAAAGAUGGAUAAGUUAGGCAGCUGAUGAGGUUGUCUGCAUAAUCAAAGGGGUAGCACAAAUAAUGAACAAAUAACUUUUAACAAAAGCAUUCUAGUUAACAUAAAAGAAAUUGGUAGUCUAUAAAAUGGUUGAAUGGGUAACAUGCAUUGAUCAAUACAACAACCAAUAAUAUUUACUGAAUUCAAACUAUUUACUUGUAAACAUUUAACAAAGCAUUAUGAGAUCUAAAUACAGUCUUUGACAAUUUCAACAAAAUAAGUCGUAUGUUUAAAAAAUAAAGCUGAUGAGCAAU